This 253-nucleotide ribosomal RNA is filed under the name uncultured bacterium. RNAcentral's name for it is "partial 16S ribosomal RNA". It matches the Rfam family "Bacterial small subunit ribosomal RNA", at positions 524 to 776 of the family's 1533-position model. The record is from RNAcentral.
UACAGAGGGGGCAAGCGUUGUUCGGAAUUACUGGGCGUAAAGGGCGCGUAGGCGGCCUGUUAAGUCAGACGUGAAAUCCCUCGGCUCAACCGGGGAACUGCGUCUGAUACUGGCGGGCUUGAAUUCGGGAGAGGGAUGUGGAAUUCCAGGUGUAGCGGUGAAAUGCGUAGAUAUCGAGAGGAACACCUGCGGCGAAGGCGGGUUGCUGGGCUGACACUGACGCUGAGGCGCGAAAGCCAGGGGAGCGAACGGG